GAUGAACGCUGGCGGCGUGCCUAAUACAUGCAAGUCGAGCGAACAGACGAGGAGCUUGCUCCUCUGACGUUAGCGGCGGACGGGUGAGUAACACGUGGAUAACCUACCUAUAAGACUGGGAUAACUUCGGGAAACCGGAGCUAAUACCGGAUAAUAUAUUGAACCGCAUGGUUCAAUAGUGAAAGACGGUUUUGCUGUCACUUAUAGAUGGAUCCGCGCCGCAUUAGCUAGUUGGUAAGGUCACGGCUUACCAAGGCAACGAUGCGUAGCCGACCUGAGAGGGUGAGCGGCCACACUGGAACUGAGACCCGGUCCAGACUCCUACGGGAGGCAGCCGUAGGGAAUCUUCCGCAAUGGGCGAAAGCCUGACGGAGCAACGCCGCGUGAGUGAUGAAGGUCUUCGGAUCGUAAAACUCUGUUAUUAGGGAAGAACAAAUGUGUAAGUAACUAUGCACGUCUUGACGGUACCUAAUCAGAAAGCCACGGCUAACUACGUG
Molecule: ribosomal RNA, 497 nt
Filed under: uncultured bacterium
Lineage: Bacteria
Description: partial 16S ribosomal RNA
Rfam family: Bacterial small subunit ribosomal RNA
Source: RNAcentral